AGGGCAUUUGGUGGAUGCCUUGGCAUGCACAGGCGAUGAAGGACGUGAUAGGGUGCGAUAAGCUAUGGGGAGCUGCAAAUAAGCAUUGAUCCGUAGAUUUCCG
Molecule: ribosomal RNA, 103 nt
Filed under: Candidatus Liberibacter asiaticus
Lineage: Bacteria; Pseudomonadati; Pseudomonadota; Alphaproteobacteria; Hyphomicrobiales; Rhizobiaceae
Description: partial 23S ribosomal RNA
Rfam family: Bacterial large subunit ribosomal RNA
Source: RNAcentral